UUCUUAUCAAGAGAAGCCGAGGGACUGGCCCGACGACGCUUCAGCAACCGGUGUAGUGGUUUACCCAAACCAUGACCAAGGUGCUAAAUCCAGCAAGCUAAAAACAGCUUGGAAGAUAAGAA
RNAcentral lists this non-coding RNA (122 nucleotides) under Bacillus amyloliquefaciens. Its description in RNAcentral is "SAM-I sequence". It matches the Rfam family "SAM riboswitch aptamer (S box leader)". Rfam says of the family: The SAM riboswitch is found upstream of a number of genes which code for proteins involved in methionine or cysteine biosynthesis in Gram-positive bacteria. The SAM riboswitch acts at the level of transcription termination control. The record is from RNAcentral. RNAcentral also lists the same sequence under 5 other names. Lineage: Bacteria; Bacillati; Bacillota; Bacilli; Caryophanales; Bacillaceae.